UACAGAGGGGGCAAGCGUUAUUCGGAAUCAUUGGGCGUAAAGCGCACGUAGGCGGUCCAGCAAGUCGGGUGUGAAAGCCCUCGGCUUAACCGAGGAAGUGCAUUCGAAACUACUGGACUUGAGUACUGAAGAGGAUCGCGGAAUUCCCGGUGUAGAGGUGAAAUUCGUAGAUAUCGGGAGGAACACCAGUGGCGAAGGCGGCGAUCUGGGCAGAUACUGACGCUGAGGUGCGAAAGCGUGGGGAGCAAACAGG
Molecule: ribosomal RNA, 253 nt
Filed under: uncultured bacterium
Lineage: Bacteria
Description: partial 16S ribosomal RNA
Rfam family: Bacterial small subunit ribosomal RNA
Source: RNAcentral